ACAAUAUUUUGUCAUUAUGUGUCAUCAGAGCUUCAAAAACCCUGCAGUCAGUAUCUAUGCAGCUUGCUCAAGCUAAAAUCACAUCAUAGUGACCUUACCACUUCACAUUUUGAUUUUUCAUUCUUCCUUAGGAAGCUCCUAAGAAGCCUGACCAGCCAUGCACAGCACGAGGGGAAAGACACGCAGCAGGAGCUGAACGAGGACUUGAAAGGAGCCGUGCUGGCCGCCUAUCAGGGUCCCCCCAUUUGCACACCAAAGGUAGGAGACAUCUGGGGCAGAGCCCGUGCAGUGCCUUCUCGCCGGCCUCGGCAGCGCCUGCGCCGGGGGAAUUCUGCCCCAGCAGAAACGGGGCUUCCAGCCCUUUCAUGCUGCUCCAGCCUGUUUACCUACCAUGGAGGGGUCAGAGCACAGGAAGAAAUCUUAACCCGACGUUUGAGGCGGAGAGCAUUGCGAAGCCAAGGACCUGGCCACAUGUGGGAUUCGCUCAUCAGCACGGCUCCUGCAGCCAGCGCUAAUGCAAGCCCCAAAAGUAGGGCAAAAACCCUCAGCUGAGCUGCUCCUGCUUGCAUCCUACCUGGAGACUGAAGUCGUGGUGAAGAAGUGCUCCAAGAUGUUGUAAUAUGCAACACAGAAACGCUAGGUAUUUUUUGGGGGGUUAUAUUUAGAAAGUUACUGAAUGGCAAGAUGUUAUACGCCUGCCGUGCACGUUACGUUUUCCACACAGGCAUAAAUAACGCAGUCAGAUAAGCACGGUCACUCGUGAACCUACACACAGUCACCACGUUACUCUUCACUUGUCUGGAUAUUUUGGGGGAGGCAUCCCCCGCCCAGCUGAGCGCCGAGCUGUCCCGCAGCGGGGCUGCGCUUGGCCACCCUCCAGCUCUGGACACACCAGAGAGCAGAGGCAAGUCGACGGAGGAGGAGAACACAAAGAUGAGGGUAGUGAGAGGAAGGAAACUAUCAGAUGUCACAGUCCCAACAAGCCCUUGCUUUCGGUAGGAUCAGCUAGAGGGUUCGUAAUACUCUUCUAACACCAUGCCUAACACAUGAUAGUAGCAAGGCUGCUACAACCCAGCAAAGGUAGUAAAAGAAGGGCUACAGAAUAGACCCCUCGCAAGCACAACAAGGUAUAAUUCACUCUAAAGCUCAGAGCAGGUACUGAACAGCACUUCUGUAAACUGCUGCUUUGCAUAGACCAAAAGCAUGAAUUGUGCCCAGAUAUGUAAGACUUCGGGGGGAAAAGAACUAUUUUAAACCACACCAUAUUAACAGGAGAUCUGGCCAAGUACUACAGCAUUUGAAUUUCUUUUAAAAAAGCGAAUCUUUUGAUAAAAUGUAUCUGCUGUAAAACCAGUUUUAAAAAUUCCCAGUACAUUUUUUAAUGGAAUCCCAUGUUAGGUGUAUCAGGUAACGUGCCUCACUGAAACAAAGCGUUUCUGUUUUCCAGCCAACUAAUAAUCAGGUUGCAUGUGGUGGCCCUUAAUGGAAAGAACAAUUGCUAUUAAAGGAACAUAGCAAUUAAAUUGCUGGGGCUAUAUUGCCACAUCCUCCA
This 1552-nucleotide long non-coding RNA is filed under the name Anas platyrhynchos platyrhynchos (common mallard). RNAcentral describes it as "lncRNA (ENSAPLG00000029254.1)". The record is from RNAcentral. Lineage: Eukaryota; Metazoa; Chordata; Aves; Anseriformes; Anatidae.